CGCGGUCUGCUUUGUCGAUCACCGCGGGAAACGUAUACUUUCCACGCGAUCGAGUCCCGAGGAGUCGCGCGACUCUCCCAGCGCCUUUCAGUUCGAUUGCCACAGCUCAGCCGUGUGAGCAGCGAUCGUCACGGAAUUUCGUUCGGUGGCCAAUCGGCGAAGCUAUCGAUCAGAUCGAGGAGAAUCGUUUGAUCGUGGAUAAAUCGAGGUUUGGCGAGCAGGUGCGACGAAAGUUCGAAGGCAGUAGGGUACAGUAAAACCGUGUACCAUUGUUUUUCUUUAACGCAUGAUGCUCGACAAAUUUCAGAGCAAGCUACAUCUCGUCCUCCGUGGAGGCAGAGUUAAAAAUUUCGGCUCGAAGAGUUUCGAUGUUUCAAUGCGAGUGAAGUGACUGUUUUCACAUGCAGGAAUCCAUUCAGACCCGUGUGAUUAGAUUAAUAUGCUACGGGGCAGAGCAGGAUACAAUGCACUGUGUGUUACGAAUGAGCACGUGUGACGUGUACGAGCGUUGAAGAGGCCGAUGAAUAUUUCAUUUGCGAUUUUUUGUUCUGUUAAUUCAGACAUAUACGUGUUAAAAUGAUUCAAUACGUCGAGAAGUUCCCAAACUAGUAAUUAACAUAAUUUAUAAGACAAACCAA
Long non-coding RNA from Frieseomelitta varia, 638 nucleotides. RefSeq lists it as uncharacterized. The transcript has 3 exons. NCBI's taxonomy places the organism in Eukaryota, Metazoa, Arthropoda, Insecta, Hymenoptera, Apidae. The record is from RefSeq and is a predicted model, not a curated record.